RNAcentral lists this long non-coding RNA (798 nucleotides) under Sus scrofa (pig). Its description in RNAcentral is "lncRNA (ENSSSCG00065001128.1)". Lineage: Eukaryota; Metazoa; Chordata; Mammalia; Artiodactyla; Suidae. The record is from RNAcentral.
CCCGAAACUGGCGUCCCCCCACACUUCCCUGGAGAUGCUGUUGCUGCCGGUCUGGGGGCCACCCUUGAAGAACUGCCGCUUUAUUCUAUACACAACAGAGGAACUUGUUCUCACUGGCGCUAACAGAAAAACAGCUUUAUAAACCAUUGCUGUAUGCUGUUGAACAAAGAUGCCCGAUUCAUGCUUUAAAAGGAGGCUCCUGGAAGAACAGCCUGAAGACACUGUCUCAGAUCAAAAGCAGCCUCAAAAGGACAUCUUUUUCAAAUUCAAUUACUGACUCUGGGGACUUACAUGGAGGAGUUAUGGUUAUGAAGAAGAAAAGAUCAACCACUUGGAUCUGAAGAUGUUUACAGCAUUAAGAUAGAUGGAUUAUACAAGGUCGGAUCCUAAUAUUUUCUCUUCUGAUGAGACAAUUUAAAAAGAUAAGUGCCGAUUUUUACUUUCAGAGUCAUCAGCUCUGUAUUUUUCCCCUUGUCUCCUGACAUUCUCUUGGAUUUGUGGUGUUAAUUACAUUCCACUAACCUUGGCUUCUAGAAUGCCAAGACUCUUAGCUGCUAAGAUCCACAAAUAACAUCAAUUAGAUAAAUGGGGCGUUUCCACUCUCUCAUGCAACCCUGUUGGAUCUGCAAGUGCAGCGCUAAUAACUCCUAGGAUUCUGCUGCAUGGUCCUGACUUCAAAUAUUUUGAGAAUGAAUGUAAAUUAGAGUAUUUUGACUUUUAGUUUGAAUAAUAUAAUCACUAUACAUAUAUGAAAUAUUAAAACUUUGAAAUAAAAAUUGUUCUCAUUUUGAAACUCCA